UACGAAGGGGGCGAGCGUUGUUCGGAAUUACUGGGCGUAAAGGGCGCGCAGGCGGCCUCUUGAAGUCAGAUGUGAAAUCCCCGGGCUUAACCUGGGAAUGGCAUUUGUGACUGCACGGCUAGAGUGUGUCAGAGGGGGGUAGAAUUCCACGUGUAGCAGUGAAAUGCGUAGAUAUGUGGAGGAAUACCGAUGGCGAAGGCAGCCCCCUGGGAUAACACUGACGCUCAUGCACGAAAGCGUGGGGAGCAAACAGG
This 254-nucleotide ribosomal RNA is filed under the name uncultured bacterium. RNAcentral describes it as "partial 16S ribosomal RNA". It matches the Rfam family "Bacterial small subunit ribosomal RNA", at positions 524 to 776 of the family's 1533-position model. The record is from RNAcentral.